Molecule: small RNA, 76 nt
Filed under: Flavobacterium tiangeerense
Lineage: Bacteria; Pseudomonadati; Bacteroidota; Flavobacteriia; Flavobacteriales; Flavobacteriaceae
Description: Flavo-1 RNA
Rfam family: Flavo-1 RNA
Source: RNAcentral
CCUUAGCACCGGGAGCAGCGGUAUCCUUUGCUUUUUCGUUUAAAAAGCAAAGAUAUAGCGAAUCACGGGACGAUAU